RNAcentral lists this ribosomal RNA (464 nucleotides) under uncultured bacterium. Its description in RNAcentral is "partial 16S ribosomal RNA". It matches the Rfam family "Bacterial small subunit ribosomal RNA", at positions 28 to 507 of the family's 1533-position model. The record is from RNAcentral.
GACGAACGCUGGCGGCGUGCUUAACACAUGCAAGUCGAACGGAAAGGCCCUGCUUGCAGGGUACUCGAGUGGCGAACGGGUGAGUAACACGUGGGUGAUCUGCCUGCACUUCGGGAUAAGCCUGGGAAACUGGGUCUAAUACCGGAUAGGAGCCAUUUUUAGUGUGAUGGUUGGAAAGUUUUUUCGGUGUAGGAUGAGCUCGCGGCCUAUCAGCUUGUUGGUGGGGUAAUGGCCUACCAAGGCGGCGACGGGUAGCCGGCCUGAGAGGGUGGACGGCCACAUUGGGACUGAGAUACGGCCCAGACUCCUACGGGAGGCAGCAGUGGGGAAUAUUGCACAAUGGGCGCAAGCCUGAUGCAGCGACGCCGCGUGGGGGAUGACGGCCUUCGGGUUGUAAACUCCUUUCGCUAGGGACGAAGCUUUUUGUGACGGUACCUAGAUAAGAAGCACCGGCUAACUACGUG